Molecule: non-coding RNA, 104 nt
Filed under: Niabella soli
Lineage: Bacteria; Pseudomonadati; Bacteroidota; Chitinophagia; Chitinophagales; Chitinophagaceae
Also listed under: 1 other name
Description: SAM-I sequence
Rfam family: SAM riboswitch aptamer (S box leader)
About the family: The SAM riboswitch is found upstream of a number of genes which code for proteins involved in methionine or cysteine biosynthesis in Gram-positive bacteria. The SAM riboswitch acts at the level of transcription termination control.
Source: RNAcentral
AGCUUAUCAAGAAAGACGGAGGGAAAUGGCCCGUAGAAGUCUUAGCAACCGCCACUAUUGGAAACGGUGCUACAUCCAUCUGCCAGCAGGCGGAAAGAUAAGUG